Martelella mediterranea DSM 17316 is the source of this 73-nucleotide transfer RNA. It matches the Rfam family "tRNA". From Rfam's summary of the family: Transfer RNA (tRNA) molecules are approximately 80 nucleotides in length. The record is from Rfam. Lineage: Bacteria; Pseudomonadati; Pseudomonadota; Alphaproteobacteria; Hyphomicrobiales; Aurantimonadaceae.
GGGGCUAUAGCUCAGCUGGGAGAGCACCUGCUUUGCAAGCAGGGGGUCAGCGGUUCGAUCCCGCUUAGCUCCA